This 448-nucleotide long non-coding RNA is filed under the name Brassica napus (rape). RNAcentral describes it as "long non-coding RNA (BNAP_LNC012099)". Lineage: Eukaryota; Viridiplantae; Streptophyta; Magnoliopsida; Brassicales; Brassicaceae. The record is from RNAcentral.
CUGUACGAAGAUGAGUAAGAAACAAAUAUCGAAAGGAGGCAGGAGACAGUGAAAUGUCAUCCAUCCAUAUUUUUUUGAACGAUGCUGACACAAAUACACAUACUGAAAUUUAUGAUCUCUGGUUUGACGUGAUAUGAUUAUUGAUUACGAAUGUAGAGACCAUGUUUAAGAGAGUUUGUCCGUUGCCCACUUGGGCCUUUGUCACUUUAUUUCAGAUUCAUGCAACAAACAAUGACUUAAUUCAGGCAGAAAGAAACAGCAGCGAAUACAAUUUAAAGACAACAGUAGAUAAAAGUAUUAAUAAUAAGUCAUGAAAUGUAUAAUUAUAUACGAGAAAAUGGUUCCACCUGCGUUACAUAUUUUAGCUAAGAGACUUUAAAUCUUGUUAAGAUAUGUUAUACUACAAAUUACAAAAAAAAAAAAAUGAAACGAAUGUUUGUCUAACCAU